CAGGCCUAACACAUGCAAGUCGAGCGGACUUAUCCUUCGGGAUAGGUUAGCGGCGGACGGGUGAGUAACACGUAGGCAACCUGCCUGUAAGAUCGGGAUAACUACCGGAAACGGUAGCUAAGACCGGAUAGCUGGUUUCUCCGCAUGGGGGAAUCAUGAAACACGGGGCAACCUGUGGCUUACGGAUGGGCCUGCGGCGCAUUAGCUAGUUGGUGGGGUAACGGCCCACCAAGGCGACGAUGCGUAGCCGACCUGAGAGGGUGAUCGGCCACACUGGGACUGAGACACGGCCCAGACUCCUACGGGAGGCAGCAGUAGGGAAUCUUCCGCAAUGGGCGCAAGCCUGACGGAGCAACGCCGCGUGAGUGAUGAAGGUUUUCGGAUCGUAAAGCUCUGUUGCCAAGGAAGAACGCCUCGGAGAGUAACUGCUCUGAGGGUGACGGUACUUGAGAAGAAAGCCCCGGCUAACUACGUGCCAGCAGCCGCGGUAAUACGUAGGGGGCAAGCGUUGUCCGGAAUUAUUGGGCGUAAAGCGCGCGCAAGCGGUCUUUUAAGUUUGGUGUUUAAGCCCGGGGCUCAACCCCGGUUCGCACUGAAGACUGGGAGACUUGAGUGCAGGAGAGGAAAGCGGAAUUCCACGUGUAGCGGUGAAAUGCGUAGAGAUGUGGAGGAACACCAGUGGCGAAGGCGGCUUUCUGGACUGUAACUGACGCUGAGGCGCGAAAGCGUGGGGAGCAAACAGGAUUAGAU
This 750-nucleotide ribosomal RNA is filed under the name uncultured bacterium. RNAcentral describes it as "bacterial SSU rRNA". It matches the Rfam family "Bacterial small subunit ribosomal RNA", at positions 43 to 783 of the family's 1533-position model. The record is from RNAcentral.